CACGUAGGGUGCGAGCGUUGUCCGGAAUUAUUGGGCGUAAAGAGCUCGUAGGCGGUGUGUCGCGUCGGCCGUGAAAACCUGCAGCUUAACUGUGGGCUUGCGGUCGAUACGGGCAUCACUGGAGUUCGGCAGGGGAGACUGGAAUUCCUGGUGUAGCGGUGAAAUGCGCAGAUAUCAGGAGGAACACCGGUGGCGAAGGCGGGUCUCUGGGCCGAUACUGACGCUGAGGAGCGAAAGCGUGGGGAGCGAACAGGG
RNAcentral lists this ribosomal RNA (255 nucleotides) under uncultured bacterium. RNAcentral's name for it is "partial 16S ribosomal RNA". It matches the Rfam family "Bacterial small subunit ribosomal RNA", at positions 524 to 777 of the family's 1533-position model. The record is from RNAcentral.